RNAcentral lists this ribosomal RNA (549 nucleotides) under uncultured bacterium. Its description in RNAcentral is "bacterial SSU rRNA". It matches the Rfam family "Bacterial small subunit ribosomal RNA", at positions 356 to 896 of the family's 1533-position model. The record is from RNAcentral.
AGGGAAUCUUCGGCAAUGGGGGGAACCCUGACCGAGCAACGCCGCGUGAGUGAAGAAGGUUUUCGGAUCGUAAAGCUCUGUUGUAAGAGAAGAACGGGUGUGAGAGUGGAAAGUUCACACUGUGACGGUAUCUUACCAGAAAGGGACGGCUAACUACGUGCCAGCAGCCGCGGUAAUACGUAGGUCCCGAGCGUUGUCCGGAUUUAUUGGGCGUGAAGCGAGCGCAGGCGGUUAGAUAAGUCUGAAGUUAAAGGCUGUGGCUUAACCAUAGUAUGCUUUGGAAACUGUUUAACUUGAGUGCAGAAGGGGAGAGUGGAAUUCCAUGUGUAGCGGUGAAAUGCGUAGAUAUAUGGAGGAACACCGGUGGCGAAAGCGGCUCUCUGGUCUGUAACUGACGCUGAGGCUCGAAAGCGUGGGGAGCAAACAGGAUUAGAUACCCUGGUAGUCCACGCCGUAAACGAUGAGUGCUAGGUGUUAGGCCCUUUCCGGGGCUUAGUGCCGCAGCUAACGCAUUAAGCACUCCGCCUGGGGAGUACGACCGCAAGGUUG